GCCUGGCUAGCUCAAUCGGUAGAGCGUUUGACUCUUAAUCAAAAGGUUGCGGGUUCGACCCCCGCGUCGGGUU
RNAcentral lists this transfer RNA (73 nucleotides) under Debaryomyces hansenii CBS767. RNAcentral describes it as "tRNA-Lys (CTT) (tRNA-Lys-CTT-1 1 to 7)". It matches the Rfam family "tRNA". Rfam says of the family: Transfer RNA (tRNA) molecules are approximately 80 nucleotides in length. The record is from RNAcentral. Lineage: Eukaryota; Fungi; Ascomycota; Pichiomycetes; Serinales; Debaryomycetaceae.